ACAAAAUCAAUAAAGAUUCACCCAUGGAAUAUGCAGCCACAAUCACUGUUAAUCCUUUGACUGCUUUAAGAAUGCUCGAAGACUUCACUACUCUAAAUUCAGGAGAUUCUAUCGUGCAAAAUGGGGCUACAAGUAUUGUAGGACAGUGUGUCAUCCAGAUUGCAAAAUUUCGUGGCAUCCAUAGCAUUAAUAUUUUAAGGGACAGGCCCGGGUCAGAUGAAGCAAGGGAAAUGUUAAAAAAACUAGGUGCUGAUGAAGUGUUUACUGAGAGCCA
Molecule: unclassified non-coding RNA, 274 nt
Filed under: Hevea brasiliensis (rubber tree)
Lineage: Eukaryota; Viridiplantae; Streptophyta; Magnoliopsida; Malpighiales; Euphorbiaceae
Source: RNAcentral